Molecule: ribosomal RNA, 1444 nt
Filed under: Taenia hydatigena
Lineage: Eukaryota; Metazoa; Platyhelminthes; Cestoda; Cyclophyllidea; Taeniidae
Description: SSU rRNA
Rfam family: Eukaryotic small subunit ribosomal RNA
Source: RNAcentral
UCACCUUUAAGCCAUGUCUGUGGUGUAACAGCCGCAGGUGUGGACGGUGUUGGGCGGUGCUCUACACACGUUGUGGGGCCUGUCGGCUCGGCUGCAUGCCUUUGGAUGCCCUUUAAUGAGGUGUCUACAGGCGGAUGGCACGUUUACUUUGAACAAAUUUGAGUGCUCAAAUCAGGCCGAUCUUGGUGAAAAGUUUUGCAUGGAAUAAUGGAAUAGGACUUCGGUUCUAUUUCGUUGGUUUUCGGAUCCGAAGUAAUGAUCAAAAGAGACAGGCGGGGACGUUUGUAUGGCUGCGCUAGAGGUGAAAUUCAUGGCCCGUAGCCAGACAAACUAAAGCGAAAGCAUUCGUCAACCAUGUUUUCAUUGGCCAUGAACGAAAGUCAGAGGCUCGAAGACGAUCAGAUACCGUCCUAGUUCUGACCAUAAACGAUGCCAACUGACGAUCCGCGGUGGUAGUAAUGUUACCUUCCCCACGCGCAGUCCCCGGGAAACCUUUAAGUGUUUGGGUUCCGGGGGAAGUAUGGUUGCAAAGCUGAAACUUAAAGGAAUUGACGGAAGGGCACCACCAGGAGUGGAGCCUGCGGCUUAAUUUGACUCAACACGGGAAAACUCACCCGGGCCGGACACUAUGAGGAUUGACAGAUUGAGAGCUCUUUCUUGAUUUGGUGGUUGGUGGUGCAUGGCCGUUCUUAGUUGGUGGAGCGAUUUGUCUGGUUAAUUCCGAUAACGAACGAGACUCCAGCCUGCUAAUUAGUGCGUUUGUCCACUGCACCUGCGAUGGUGGCGUUAGAUGACACCGCCUGUCACGCAGGGAUAGGCUCUACUCUCUCGCUAGCGGCGCUCCUCUUCUACUACUUCUUUCGCUUGCUCUUCCUUCUCUUCUUCCACUGCCGCCGCCGCCGCUGCCAGUGAUGGUGGUGGUGGUGGUGGUGAUGGUGAUGAUGAUGAUGGUGGUAGUAGUGAGUGGAUGAUUGCAGGGGUGAGGCAGCAGCAGCAGGUGUGGAGGGUGUGGCUUGACGUGCGUGGCUGGUUAGUCUGGCGUUGGCCUCCAGGUGUGGCGCGAAUGCCUACUUCUUAGAGGGACAAGCGGGAGAAGCCGCACGAAAUAGAGCAAUAACAGGUCUGUGAUGCCCUUAGAUGUCCGGGGCCGCACGCGCGCUACAAUGACGGUGUCAACGAGUCAGACCUUCUGGCCCGAAAGGGUUGGGCAAACUGGUCAAUCACCGUCGUGACAGGGAUCGGGGCUUGGAAUUGUUCCCCGUGAACGAGGAAUUCCUAGUAAGUGCAAGUCAUAAGCUUGCGCUGAUUACGUCCCUGCCCUUUGUACACACCGCCCGUCGCUACUACCGAUUGAAUGGUUUAGUAAGGUCCUUGGAUUGGCGUCAUUGUGGCGGUGGCUGAGAGAUCAGUUGCAGCCCGACAGGCGCUGAAAAGACGACCGAAC